This 539-nucleotide ribosomal RNA is filed under the name uncultured bacterium. RNAcentral describes it as "bacterial SSU rRNA". It matches the Rfam family "Bacterial small subunit ribosomal RNA", at positions 8 to 526 of the family's 1533-position model. The record is from RNAcentral.
AGAGUUUGAUCAUGGCUCAGAAUCAACGCUGGCGGCGUGCCUAACACAUGCAAGUCGAACGCGAAAGUGGAGCAAUCCAUGAGUAGAGUGGCAAACGGGUGAGUAACACGUGGGUGACCUGCCUUCGAGUGGGGGAUAACGUCCCGAAAGGGACGCUAAUACCGCAUAACAUGCUGUCUUUUAAGAGAUGGACAUCAAAGCCGGGGACCGCAAGGCCUGGCGCUUGAAGAGGGGCCCGCGCCUGAUUAGCUAGUUGGUGGGGUAAUGGCUCACCAAGGCAACGAUCAGUAUCCGGCCUGAGAGGGCGGACGGACACACUGGGACUGAGACACGGCCCAGACUCCUACGGGAGGCAGCAGUGGGGAAUUGUUCGCAAUGGGCGCAAGCCUGACGACGCAACGCCGCGUGGAGGAUGAAGACCUUCGGGUCGUAAACUCCUUUCGAUCGAGACGAACGGCCCUUGGGAUAACACCCUGAGGGAGUGACGGUACCGAGAGAAGAAGCCCCGGCUAACUCCGUGCCAGCCGCCGCGGUAAUAC